CCCGGCACCUCUGGCCAGGGCUGCUCACGCUGCCCAGCCGAGCAGAACCCUUUGGGCACUGGCUGGCACUGGCCUCCACUCCCUUCCUUCCUGCCACAGGCAUUUGGGAGAUACCUCAGGCCAGCUGAGAGGACGGGCAUCGUCCUUGUGGCCAUCGAGAUCCUGGGCCGCUCCAGCCUCCUGGACAAGAAGGCACCCAAGGAGUUUCUGGAGGUGGCCAUGGAAUCCCCUCAGCUGUGGCUGAUGGAUGUGCCAAAAAUUGUGAGACACAUCUUUGCAUACUAUGAUGAAACAAAUGCAGCAACUGCUCACAGCUUUCCCACACUGCUUGACCUGAUGGCCAAUAAGUGGCCUCGGCGAGUCGUCGCGACAGCUCUGGAGGUCGCGCCAAUAUCCUGCGACAAAGUCUGUCUGUGGAAGGCCAUGUUCUCCGUGCGCCAGACUCUGGAGAAGGUUUUGAAAGAGCUGCACAUCAAACUGCAGGAUGGGCAGAAGGACAUCUUCACUCAGCAGCAGAAGUCCUGCCUCACUUUCUUGGCUGUGAGUCAUCAGGAAAAGCCCAUGUGCCCUUGCCCUCUGCUGUCAGUAGGAAGCAGGAGCUGUGCCAGGACAGCCCUGCCAGCUCUACUCGGGCUCUCUGCCGCUUUCUUCCAGAUGCUGGCCUCUGAUGAUGUGGAAGAAGAGGAACUGGAUCCAUUGUACAAAGACUUGAGAAUUCUGAUGCAUUCAGGAAUCGAAAUGGUCCCUCUGGUGCUCAGGGCCCUUUUGACGCUGUCGGAGAGAGCUGAGACGGCAAGAAAAAUGAAGCGCGUCCUCCGAGAGUUGCUGAAAAUCCGGUGGGAAUGGUCUUGGGACAUUUCAGUGAUGGUUAUGGACAUCUUCCAAAAUGUACUGGGGCACCUGAAGAAGACAGAGGCCAGCCCCAUUGCUGUGAAGGUGGUGCAGAGGCUCUGGUACCUCUUUGAUGCGAAGGAAGACUGUGUGCGGGAGCACUCCAUCCGCCUCUUCAGAGACCUGCUGGGCAAAACAGUGUGUGUGGACAAGUAUGUCAUGAAGAAAUAUGCCUGGAAGGCCCUGGUCUGCCUCCUGCUUCACAUGAGUGAUGAGGCCCCCAGCGUGGCCAAGGCAUCUACAGAAGCCGUCCUGGCUAUAGCAGAGCUCCUCAAGUGGAAAGAGCUCAAGCAGCUGGCGCAGAUGGAGCAGACGUGGAGGAUGGGCGAGUGCUUGUUGGCCAAGGACAGCAGCAGGGCCGAACAGUUUGUGUGGGACAGCCAGCGCUACCUGUGGAGCCCUCAGGCCCCCAUGCGAGAGGCGGCCCUCAGGUUCAUUGGGCUGGCUGCGCGGCACCUGACAGAGCAGAGUGAGGACACCGUGGCUGAGGUGCUCUGGGAGCUUGACAGACUGCAAACAGGAGACAAGGAUCCCGCCAUCUGUUCCCUGGCAGCUCAGACCAGCUUGGUCCUGAAGUCUCCAAGGAAGCAGCGAAGAUCAGGAUUCUCCCUGCGUGCGCUGUGCUGCUGGUGCCGCUGAGCAGAGAGGGACCUUGAUCCUGGUCAAAAUGAGGACAGAGGUGCUGCCUGUGGAGAGAUCCAGAUCCCAGGCCUGGGGAAGCUGCUGGCACAUCCAUUCAAGUCACUCAAGAGAGAAGUGACCACUUUAUGGCUCUGGAUGCUCUCUGUGCCCACUUCAAGUUCAUCUGUCAGCAGAAAGGUAAGAGAAGCUGUGGUGGGCUGCAUCCCUGCGCACGGCCACAUCCCCCCGAUGCAUCUGCUCGUCUUCCCGGGCCUUGCGAUGGCCCCUUCUGUGCAGACACGGGGCUCAUGUGGGCUCUGCUUCUGUCACAGAACUUGAACUACUGCGGGCCAGAGAGAAGGAUCCUGGGCGCUCAGACCCGCCUGCCUAAAAUCCUGCGAGAGGACUCGGUGUGCCUGGAUCCAAGCCCAGCCACAGACCUGUCCAAACUGUAUAUAGUUCUAGAAAGUUAAUUACCCUAUAUAUAUC
Long non-coding RNA from Corvus moneduloides (New Caledonian crow), 2001 nucleotides. The record is from Ensembl. NCBI's taxonomy places the organism in Eukaryota, Metazoa, Chordata, Aves, Passeriformes, Corvidae.